AAUAUUAGUCAAUGCUCGCAAGAGUGAACUAGCUAACUGAAAUUACAGGAUCCAGUACAUUUGGUGAAUGUAAUAACGUAAGGGAAAAAAAUGAUAUUACCUUACUAUUAGUGUUGUCCAAAACUGGUGCCAGAAGACUCGGUAAGGCCAGAGACGCAAACGUUAGUCGUCCUAAUCAGGCGUAAAGGGUAUGUAGGCUGCUUUAAAUUUUUAAUAUUUCCAAGCUAAUGUCUCUCUUCUCCCCAUCGGAGUAGAAAACAUGAAAUAUAAGAUUAAUAAAAGCUAGAAUCAAAUGGAGGAUAAGUCAAAUAAUACCUAGUGUAGGGUUUAAAUCUGUUGAUGUUAGGUAGAGUACUAACGGUGAAAACUUUUUAUCUAUAAAUGAUUGACGCUGAGAAACGAAGGUGAGAAUAGGAAAUAGGAUUAGAUACCCAGAUACCUCUCACAGUCAACGAUGAAUGGUGGUUGUUAGUUAGUUUAAUUUAACUGAUAACGAUGUUAACACGAUAACCAUUCCGCCUUGCGAGUACGGUUGCAAAACUGAAACCAAAAAAAUUAGUCGGUCUCGAAGCAAACGAAGUGAAGCAUGUUAUUUAAUU
This 599-nucleotide ribosomal RNA is filed under the name Nolanea caribaea. RNAcentral's name for it is "partial small subunit ribosomal RNA". It matches the Rfam family "Bacterial small subunit ribosomal RNA", at positions 360 to 951 of the family's 1533-position model. The record is from RNAcentral. Lineage: Eukaryota; Fungi; Basidiomycota; Agaricomycetes; Agaricales; Entolomataceae.